RNAcentral lists this long non-coding RNA (260 nucleotides) under Capsella rubella. Its description in RNAcentral is "long non-coding RNA (CRUB_LNC003428)". Lineage: Eukaryota; Viridiplantae; Streptophyta; Magnoliopsida; Brassicales; Brassicaceae. The record is from RNAcentral.
AAACACAUCGAAUAUAGAAGAAGAAGUAGAAGAACCCACUGCUGAGUUUUUUUAUAAAGUGAUGAUAACGUAAACAUUAGACAAAAGAGUGACAACGUAUCUUCUUCACUGUUUUUGUUUUUGUUUUUUUUUUAAUAUUCGGAUAACUAAGAAUAAUUAAAUAAACGUUUAUCACCAGUUUUGUCUUUAUAUAAGUGAUGAUGUUACAACGAAAGAAACGAACGAACGGGAAUAGAGAGAGCGAAGAAAACAAAAGUGGC